AUAUAAGAUAAAUAGGGAUGCGUAUAAAUUUUCUGUCCCUUGAAUUUCUGUGACAACACAAGAUGCUCUCCCUCCUUCAUUUUGCUCAGACAUCAUCUGUUGAUGUCAGGAACAUCUGAGAAUGCUAUAAUUGGAUAUUCCACGAAACACUUUGUUUAUGAACUCUACUGUGGAUUUCCGAAAACUGAUUUCCUUGGUUGGUAGCUUUUCUUUUUAGCCCCGUCCUAGUUUAUAGCAGAUUUAAAUUGUGGGAAAAGGAUAAUUGGACAUGUUAUAAGUUGACCCUCUUAUGCCAGAAAUCAUUAUCAGAUCCUCAGAGUUCAGCCAGUGCUCCAGAAACUUGCC
Molecule: long non-coding RNA, 345 nt
Filed under: Androctonus crassicauda
Lineage: Eukaryota; Metazoa; Arthropoda; Arachnida; Scorpiones; Buthidae
Source: RNAcentral